CUCCCUUCCAGUGAUGUCCCCUUUUGGUGCAUAACAAAUUAUGUAUACACAGUUUUUAAACUGUGAACACAUAAAGUGAAAAUGUUUUAAUGAAACUUGAAAGUUAGAACCGAAAACCUUUAUGGGUAUAAGAGGUCAAGUCAAAAACGACAAAAUGCUGACUGCAUAGUGCUGCACAUGAAAUGACCGUUUCGUUAUUCAUUAGUCACGGUGUGAGUAACAAUGCAGAUCAGGCGGGCUGUCUGUGGGCCAGGUGUUGUAAUAAUCCUUGUGCCAAAGAGGGUACAUGGACCUCGGCACUGUUUUCAGCACUUUUCCCAAGAGCAAGGGAAGUCUGGGCUGUGUCCAGUAAUUUUAGUCAAUGAACAAAUGAAUGUAUCAGUCAAAUAUUUUUACUCGGAUCUUUGCAGUUUAUCUAUAAGAGCAAAUUAAUCAGUAAAGAAUGCCAAUGACUACAGAUCGAUGGUCUGAAAUAGCACAACAGUGCUGCUUCUUUAUGCAGAGGCGCAGAAAGGGUGAACCACAUCGUCAUUCUGCUGCAUACUGAGGUCCAGUUUAUGAGUCUAGAGUGUGGGGUGAAGUCCGGAAACAAGACCAUCUGCUCAUGAGCAGGUGAGACAACCAGUCCCACGCUGCCCAGCAGUUUUGCCGAUUCUCUUUUGCCACAGUGCCUAGGAGGGCAGUUAAGUGCGUCGCGUGGCUGAAGAGUCGGCGUGUCGUGGAGCCACAUGCAGUCGAACCCGGAUCUCAUUGAUCACCUCACGGCACCUCACCAAGAGCCAGAUAAUGAAGCUUCUGCGCCCAGCACAGUUCAGUUCAGGGGUUUGAGAGACUGUCUUCCCGGGGGCUGGGGUUUCAGGCUCAUCUGCAGCUCAACGACAGACAUGGAUACAGACACUCCUGGAUUACAGAGCUUGUCUGAGCCUCUAAAACCGAAGAGAAGCAUCGUGACAUCGGAGAUGCGAAAGGUCACAUGAAGAAGGAGACCUGAAAGGUGCUAUUGUGUAAGAGAAACUGGCAGGCUUGGAGCGUUUCAAAGGGAUGUUUUACUACUGAUUUCUGUUACUCUCCCAUUGAAAGGCUGGCCUAGUGAGAUUUUUAGUUUUUGUUUAUAUUCACAACAUUUUCAAUUGCAGUUAAUGCUUAUUCUGAAUUGUUUACUUUACACGGAGCAAGUUAUUCAAAUUAUGAAUAGGUUUUGGUUACCAACAAUAACAAAAAUAAGAAUGGUUACAAACAAGAAGAGGCUUGUUUGGUGGUUAGUUUAGUAUUUGAACUUUGUUUUACUAUCUGUCAGAAACUCUUGUCCUGCUAAAUCGGACAGACAUCUUGCAGUGUGAUGUCUGAUGCUUAAUGUUCAGUAUAUAUCUGUAUGCUGUAAGAUAGAUGGUAAC
RNAcentral lists this long non-coding RNA (1394 nucleotides) under Lepisosteus oculatus (spotted gar). RNAcentral's name for it is "lncRNA (ENSLOCG00000022695.1)". The record is from RNAcentral. Lineage: Eukaryota; Metazoa; Chordata; Actinopteri; Semionotiformes; Lepisosteidae.